UCUUCUUCUUUCCCUUUCUUCAUUUUCUUCUUCGUUCUUCUGUUCAUCGUAUUCUUCCCGUGUGAGAGUUUAAGUGAUGAAAUUGAGAGUGGAUUAGAGAUAUUUUGAUUGAUGAAACUAUUCAUAUGGUGAAGGAGGUGUUGUCGAUGUUAUUUAGGAAGAAGGGUAUUAUGGAUUGCUAAGAGUUUAUGGUGAAUCAGAGAGAAGUGAAGUUAGGGUUCCGGAGUUGAGUUUUAGAGAUGAAAUUGAUGUUGAAUAUGAGAUGUUAACGGAUGAAGAAAAUAGGGGUUGCUUUUAGUUUGCGGAGGUGAAGCUUUCCUAAUGACGAAUCAAAAGAAAAAGAUAAUUAGGGUUCUGUAAUUUGAAGUUUGAUUAAUCUGUUUUAAUUUGAUUAAUUAAUGAAGUAGUUAGUGAUGGUGCUGGUUUUGACUCAAGUGGUUAUUUCCAUUUCAUGGGAAGAGUUAUUUCAGAGAGGGGGUUAGUUAGGAUUCAUGAGAAGAAUCUCUAAGAAGAUUAGAAGGUGAAUUUGUUACUCUAGUGGAUUAAUUAGAGAUGGGUAUAAUUUAUAUGAGGGGUUAUUUAUGAUUUGAACAUGAAUUGAAAGAUAGAGGAUUGUGAAUCAAUUUUAGGGUUUUCUGGAAAUCGUCUUGAAGUUAGUUUGAGUGGCGAUUUGAGAUUGGUAGAUCAGAUUCAAGAACAGUUGAUGAGUAAUGGAAUGGUUAACAAAUAAAGAACGAAUGGGUUGUUGUGUAUUGAAGGUGAUUCUGAAUAAUUAAGGAUGGGUUUAACUGAAAUAGAGUUUGAAGAAGAAGAUUCUAAGAAGAAGGAUUGUUGUAUCUGGAGUUAAGAUGAUUGCAUAAAUUGAACAUAAGACGAGUUACAGGGAGGAAGAGGUGUAUGAGUUGUUGAUUGGUGGUGGUGUUUUAUCAGUCACAGGACAUGGAAGAAGUAUGUGAUGAAGAUUGUUAAGUUUUGUUUGGUUAAUUAUGGUUUAUAUGGUUGUGGUUGGAGAAUAACAAUUCAGAAGAUGCUGGUACUUGGGUAAGUUCUGUAUUGUUGAAUUUCGCAUGUUUUCCAUAUAACUGAUAAUAUGUCUGAGUUAAUGUGUUUGGGAGUGGGGUUACUGAAUUUACAGAUAGUGCAGGCAAGAAAUGAAUGUAUUGUUGUUUGACUUAAGAAGUUGCAUUUAUAGGAUUGGUGGUGAUGCAUUUGAGCUGCUAAGUCAUUAUGGAUGGAAGUUGUCCAAGUUAAUAUGUUGUUGAGUUGUUCUGAGAUGCGGGUGUUGAUGUUGUGAGAGUUAUACAGAGUUGGAGUUGAGGAUUAGAUGAAUUGGUUGUUUGUACCAAAUAAAAGCUGGUGUUGUCUGUGAGAUGACGAAGUUGGCAGGGUUGUACAAUAGGUGCUUGUGUAAGAAAUUAGAUGGAAUUCUAAUGUGUAGAACUAGAGUUGUUGAACUGAGUGUUGCAUAAAAUUGGUUAUGCUGAGAUUGAGAUAACAAGAUGUAGUGGUGGAAAUAUGGCAGGUGGUAAUGUUGAGUGGUAUCUGAAGUUGCUGGUGUUGUAUAUGUAAAGUGAAUUGGGAGAAAGAGAGUAGUUGUAGUGUUGCUUAGCAGUAGCCUUAAUGGAAGCCAGUAACUGCAGAUCAAGUUAGUCUAUAUUAACAACGAUCGAUUCAAAUGAUGAACCAGUGGAUCGUGGAUCUCGAGGUAGGCGUGGCUUGUCAUCAAAAGAGGUGGGAAUACAUUUGACUCUUUUGUAACCAUUGUUGUUUCUUUUACAAAAGUUUAUAUUUAACAAACCAUGCAUUGUCUGUUUAUGCAUUCCAUGCUUUAUUUAAAUUGCGUUACUAUACUUCUGUCGAUUUUGUUAAUAUUUCCAUGGUUUGGAAAGGACUUGUGAUGUUUGUUUGUCAUAUGAAUUGUUAUGGGAAAUAAGAAUUUCCA
Molecule: long non-coding RNA, 1942 nt
Organism: Papaver somniferum (opium poppy)
Lineage: Eukaryota; Viridiplantae; Streptophyta; Magnoliopsida; Ranunculales; Papaveraceae
Exons: 2
Source: RefSeq, a predicted model, not a curated record